Long non-coding RNA from Vigna radiata var. radiata (mung bean), 1445 nucleotides. RefSeq lists it as uncharacterized. Lineage: Eukaryota; Viridiplantae; Streptophyta; Magnoliopsida; Fabales; Fabaceae. The transcript is spliced from 2 exons. The record is from RefSeq and is a predicted model, not a curated record.
AUUUUUUUGAAGAAAAACGAAAAGAAGCAGCCCAAGACCCAGGCUAGGAUUUUGCUUAGGGGUCGAAUUUCAUUCCCCUCACUCUGCAUCCACUCAAAAUCGCAGACACCCAACCCUCUUAUCUGAACCAGAAGACCUAGCAGCAAUCACCCCGCCACUCACGCACUCGUCGCUGCCUCCACCGAACGGCCACCGCGACGCCACCAAAGGGGUUGCUAGCGACCACCGUCGACCACAGCUCCCCACCGGUUGCCGCCGUCAAGCCUUCCCCUCUCCUUCUCUUUUCUCGUGUUAACCUAGGGUUGGGGGUUCCUUCUCAAAUGCACCGCCGGCCACCACUGCUUUGAAUCCAGCCACCGUGCCACCCUCUUCUCUCUUCGACGCCGACGAGCUCUGUCGCUGCUGGUGAGCUCUUCUUCCUCUCUCCUUCGCUCGCGAGCAAGGAAACCCCUUUCCUCUUCUUCAAGUCCAAGAGCGCCGCCACCAACAAGACAAAACGCCGUUGCCUCAGGUAGACCGGCUGUCGUUCAUGCGCGCAACAGAGGCGUCGUGGUGACCGAAAAUGGUUUCGAUUUCCAGAGCAGUUAAAACAGAUGCAGAGAUUUUGGGUUGUUUGGCUAUGCUAAGGCUGUGGUUGUGGCUGCACUGCGAUUAACUUUAAACAAAUUGGCAUGGGAUCUUGCAGGUUGAGGAUGAUGGUGUGAUGCGUGAGUUGGGGUGGAGGUUCUAAUGGGGUGGUUCAGGUGUCUUCCUUUUUUCGUUGUGUUUCUGGUUGAUGAUUGUGAGAACUUGGCCUAUGGCUUGCUGGAAUUUUGCUUCAGCGAAAAGGAUUGGGAAUAAAUUUAGGAGAUCUGUUUAGUUUUUGUUUCCUUUCCGAGUGCAAUUUGAAAAAGGCAAUGGUGUCGUGAUGUUGAGGUAUCAUCGGGUUGACUCCUUUGUUGGUGGCUUGGGUUCGUGUUUCUCUUGAUGGUGUUGGCUUUGGGUAACGAAACCAAAGAUGGAGGAAGCAAGUUGUUCUGGGGAGCGGUCUCACAUGGCAGGGGAUUUCCGAUUUGGUCUCCGUGUUUGUUUGAUAUAGGUGAAAGAGGAUUUUGAGAUUGAAGGUAGUUGCAGCGUUAUCCAGAUUGAAGGAGACCUAUGGUUUGUUAGAGGGAGCAACUGCUUUUGUUUUAUGUUUUCCUUUGCUUCAUAUGAGAACUGAUAUGAAAGGAUUUUGUCUAUGUUUCCUUCUUUCGAUUUUUCUGGGUGUAAGUAAAGAGGGUGUUGGAGUCUUGCUGUUGGGGAUACAUGCCUAUGUAUGAUGGAUUUUGCAGGCAUUGAAACUGCAAGUUUCUGGGUGCAGUUUUUGAUUGACAAAGGAUAUCACAAAGUAAACUAACAACCAUAUCCACGCAUACUUCAUUCAUAACAACAUAGACAUGUUUCAUUCAUAUCAAUUCCAGGAA